RNAcentral lists this ribosomal RNA (422 nucleotides) under uncultured Candidatus Planktophila sp. RNAcentral's name for it is "bacterial SSU rRNA". It matches the Rfam family "Bacterial small subunit ribosomal RNA", at positions 352 to 786 of the family's 1533-position model. The record is from RNAcentral. Lineage: Bacteria; Bacillati; Actinomycetota; Actinomycetes; Candidatus Nanopelagicales; Candidatus Nanopelagicaceae.
CAGUGGGGAAUAUUGGGCAAUGGAGGAAACUCUGACCCAGCGACGCCGCGUGCGGGAUGAAGGCCUUCGGGUUGUAAACCGCUUUCAGCAGGGAAGAAGCGAAAGUGACGGUACCUGCAGAAGAAGCACCGGCUAACUAUGUGCCAGCAGCCGCGGUAAUACAUAGGGUGCAAGCGUUGUCCGGAAUUAUUGGGCGUAAAGAGCUCGUAGGUGGUUCGUCACGUCGGAUGUGAAACUCUGGGGCUUAACCCCAGACCUGCAUUCGAUACGGGCGAGCUUGAGUAUGGUAGGGGAGUCUGGAAUUCCUGGUGUAGCGGUGGAAUGCGCAGAUAUCAGGAGGAACACCAAUGGCGAAGGCAGGACUCUGGGCCAUUACUGACACUGAGGAGCGAAAGCGUGGGGAGCGAACAGGAUUAGAUACC